Molecule: ribosomal RNA, 380 nt
Filed under: Spinomantis sp. 2 MV-2009
Lineage: Eukaryota; Metazoa; Chordata; Amphibia; Anura; Mantellidae
Description: partial 16S ribosomal RNA
Rfam family: Bacterial large subunit ribosomal RNA
Source: RNAcentral
UCCGUGAAGAAGCGGAGAUUUAACUAUAAGACGAGAAGACCCCAUGGAGCUUUAAACCUGACUACACCCCUAUCUAUUAUACCCUUAAAUCAACAGGGCCUUUGUCUGUCGGUUUUAGGUUGGGGUGACCGCGGAGCAUAAAUUAACCUCCAAGAUGAACUGGACUAACCCAUUAUCUAAGAUUUACACCUCAAAGAAUCAGCACACUGACAUAAAAUGAUCCGACAUUCGAUCAACGAACCAAGUUACCCUGGGGAUAACAGCGCAAUCUACUUCAAGAGCCCCUAUCGACAAGCAGGUUUACGACCUCGAUGUUGGAUCAGGGUAUCCUAGUGGUGCAACAGCUACUAAAGGUUCGUUUGUUCAACGAUUAAAACCCU